RNAcentral lists this ribosomal RNA (253 nucleotides) under uncultured bacterium. RNAcentral describes it as "partial 16S ribosomal RNA". It matches the Rfam family "Bacterial small subunit ribosomal RNA", at positions 524 to 776 of the family's 1533-position model. The record is from RNAcentral.
UACGAAGGGGGCUAGCGUUGCUCGGAAUCACUGGGCGUAAAGCGCACGUAGGCGGAUCUUUAAGUCGGAGGUGAAAGCCCAGGGCUCAACCCUGGAAUUGCCUUCGAUACUGGAGAUCUUGAGUUCGAGAGAGGUGAGUGGAACUCCGAGUGUAGAGGUGAAAUUCGUAGAUAUUCGGAAGAACACCAGUGGCGAAGGCGGCUCACUGGCUCGAUACUGACGCUGAGGUGCGAAAGCGUGGGGAGCAAACAGG